This 352-nucleotide transfer-messenger RNA is filed under the name Verrucomicrobiia. Its description in RNAcentral is "UBA11320 sp003452185 Standard tmRNA". It matches the Rfam family "transfer-messenger RNA". From Rfam's summary of the family: Bacterial tmRNA, also known as 10Sa RNA or SsrA, is named for its dual tRNA and mRNA-like properties. Its role is to liberate the mRNA from a stalled ribosome. Lineage: Bacteria; Pseudomonadati; Verrucomicrobiota. RNAcentral also lists the same sequence under 1 other name. The record is from RNAcentral.
GGGGGCGUACUGGUUUCGACCAUGUGGAUGCGCCGGAGGCGGCAUGCCGAGGAUGGUUCGUUGGCCUCGUAAAAAAUCGAACCAAAAAAAUAAAAGCUAACGAAGAGUUGGCCCUCGCGGCCUAGUCCGCGACGCUCGUUCCUGGAUCCCGGCUAAGGGAAACGAGCGCAUUUAGUCGGGAUGGUGGAUCGACGGAGACAGCGCGUUGAUCGCCGAGAAAAUUCAUGCUGACUAAGCGAUCCGUUUCGCGCCGGGGUGAGCGCGGGUUGCCGACAAUUGACCCUGGCUAAGCAUGUAGUCGCGGCCGGUUUAUUUGCUUGGGACGCGGGUUCAACUCCCGCCGCCUCCACGC